GACGAACGCUGGCGGCGUGCUUAACACAUGCAAGUCGAACGGAAAGGCCCUGCUUUUGUGGGGUGCUCGAGUGGCGAACGGGUGAGUAACACGUGAGUAACCUGCCCUUGACUUUGGGAUAACUUCAGGAAACUGGGGCUAAUACCGGAUAGGAGCUCCUGCUGCAUGGUGGGGGUUGGAAAGUUUCGGCGGUUGGGGAUGGACUCGCGGCUUAUCAGCUUGUUGGUGGGGUAGUGGCUUACCAAGGCUUUGACGGGUAGCCGGCCUGAGAGGGUGACCGGCCACAUUGGGACUGAGAUACGGCCCAGACUCCUACGGGAGGCAGCAGUGGGGAAUAUUGCACAAUGGGCGGAAGCCUGAUGCAGCAACGCCGCGUGCGGGAUGACGGCCUUCGGGUUGUAAACCGCUUUCGCCUGUGACGAAGCGUGAGUGACGGUAACGGGUAAAGAAGCACCGGCUAACUACGU
Molecule: ribosomal RNA, 467 nt
Filed under: uncultured bacterium
Lineage: Bacteria
Description: partial 16S ribosomal RNA
Rfam family: Bacterial small subunit ribosomal RNA
Source: RNAcentral